GACGAACGCUGGCGGCGUGCCUAAUACAUGCAAGUUGAGCGCUGAAGGUUGGUACUUGUACCAACUGGAUGAGCAGCGAACGGGUGAGUAACGCGUGGGGAAUCUGCCUUUGAGCGGGGGACAACAUUUGGAAACGAAUGCUAAUACCGCAUAAAAACUUUAAACACAAGUUUUAAGUUUGAAAGAUGCAAUUGCAUCACUCAAAGAUGAUCCCGCGUUGUAUUAGCUAGUUGGUGAGGUAAAGGCUCACCAAGGCGAUGAUACAUAGCCGACCUGAGAGGGUGAUCGGCCACAUUGGGACUGAGACACGGCCCAAACUCCUACGGGAGGCAGCAGUAGGGAAUCUUCGGCAAUAGACGAAAGUCUGACCGAGCAACGCCGCGGGAGUGAAGAAGGGUUUCGGAUCGUAAAACUCUGUUGGUAGAGAAGAACGUUGGUGAGAGUGGAAAGCUCAUCAAGUGACGGUAACUACCCAGAAAGGGACGGCUAACUACGUG
RNAcentral lists this ribosomal RNA (497 nucleotides) under uncultured bacterium. Its description in RNAcentral is "partial 16S ribosomal RNA". It matches the Rfam family "Bacterial small subunit ribosomal RNA", at positions 28 to 507 of the family's 1533-position model. The record is from RNAcentral.